This 168-nucleotide ribosomal RNA is filed under the name uncultured Bacteroidota bacterium. RNAcentral describes it as "uncultured Bacteroidetes bacterium partial 16S ribosomal RNA". It matches the Rfam family "Bacterial small subunit ribosomal RNA", at positions 355 to 520 of the family's 1533-position model. The record is from RNAcentral. Lineage: Bacteria; Pseudomonadati; Bacteroidota.
UGAGGAAUAUUGGACAAUGGGUGAGAGCCUGAUCCAGCCAUCCCGCGUGAAGGACGACGGCCCUAUGGGUUGUAAACUUCUUUUGUAUAGGGAUAAACCUUUCCUCGUGAGGAAAGCUGAAGGUACUAUACGAAUAAGCACCGGCUAACUNCGUGCCAGCAGCCGCGG